GUUCAUCAUCUUCAUAUCAUAUUUUUUAUUCUGAUAUUUCGUUAAUGGAGGUAUGUUGUUUAUACAAUAUUUAUUUUGUUAUUGUUGACUAAGCGUUCAUCAUAUGCAUGUAAUUUUUGUUCUCUUGAUAGUGCAGACUACCCGUUCAUCAGAUUCAUAUCAUAUUUGUUCUUAUGAUAUUUCAUUGAUGAAAUUCAUAUUUUGAUUUAUAUUUGUGUGAUUUUCAGAACAAAGAUAAUGUUGAUAACAAUAACAAAGACUUUUCUGAUAACAAUGGUCGGAAUGUUAAGCAAUCCAAAGUGAAUCAAGAUUUGAAGAAAAAAAAGAAGAUGUGAGAUUUGUUUUGGUGUUGGUCAUGAUAGGAAGAACUGUCCUCAAACAUUGGUCAAGAGAGAGUAGAUGUUUACUUCGUCAAGAUAUAUUAGAAAUUGAAUAAUGUUUUCAAUUUAGUUAUCGGAUGUUAUGGAGUUUUAUUUCAGUCUAAUAAUGAUAUGGAUUCAUGAAUUUUAGGGGUUUAUCCUUGUAAGUUUAUGUUUUCAUUAAAUUAAUAUUAAUAAUUUUCAUUUUGAGUUUGAUU
This 577-nucleotide long non-coding RNA is filed under the name Lactuca sativa (garden lettuce). Its description in RNAcentral is "long non-coding RNA (LSAT_LNC004529)". The record is from RNAcentral. Lineage: Eukaryota; Viridiplantae; Streptophyta; Magnoliopsida; Asterales; Asteraceae.